RNAcentral lists this ribosomal RNA (209 nucleotides) under uncultured bacterium. RNAcentral's name for it is "partial 16S ribosomal RNA". It matches the Rfam family "Bacterial small subunit ribosomal RNA", at positions 524 to 728 of the family's 1533-position model. The record is from RNAcentral.
UACGUAGGGUGCAAGCGUUGUCCGGAAUUAUUGGGCGUAAAGAGCUCGUAGGCGGUCUGUCGCGUCGGCUGUGAAAACUCGGGGGCUCAACCCCGAGCCUGCAGUCGAUACGGGCAGACUAGAGUGCUGUAGGGGAGACUGGAAUUCCUGGUGUAGCGGUGAAAUGCGCAGAUAUCAGGAGGAACGACCGGCUGGCGGAAGGCGGGUCU